RNAcentral lists this long non-coding RNA (729 nucleotides) under Manihot esculenta (cassava). RNAcentral describes it as "long non-coding RNA (MESC_LNC012288)". The record is from RNAcentral. Lineage: Eukaryota; Viridiplantae; Streptophyta; Magnoliopsida; Malpighiales; Euphorbiaceae.
AAGAAUUGAAGAAGAAAAGUUUAGGGUUCCAUAUGCACCAAGCUUGAAAAUCAAAGGUGAGCUUAGAAAUGAGUAGGAAAUAGCAUCAUCUCAUUUCUUCAUGCAUGAAUUUGAAUUAUAAAGCUUUAAUUUACAAUUUAUUCAAUCCUUCCCUAAGAUAUAAAUUGGCAUAGGUGAAGGAACAUCAAAGGGAAAGGAGAUAGCUAGAGAUUAGAAGAGGAAAAGAAAAGAAGAAUUCAAGAAAGGUUUGGUGUUUUAAUGAUUUUAUGUUUUUCUUUGAUUCUGCCAUGAAUAAGUGAAAUUAGGGGUUGAUUUUACUUGCUGGAAAUGUUGCUUUGAUUGUAUAAAUAUGUUAUAUGAAUGUUAAAAUGAUGUUUGAAAGGCUUAGAGUAAAGAAAUUUAACAUGGGAGCUAAAAGUGUAAAUCUGGCAGAAUAGGUUGUAACAGGACAGCUUGUGUUACUAACUCCAUAACUUAUUGUGUAUAUAUUGAAAUUAGGCCUAAGAUAUACCAAAUUAAAGCUAAGACAAAUAUCUAAAACUUUCAUGAAUUGACAAAAUUCUGAAUCUGUAGUUAAAAUGAUGAAAAUUGCAAGUGAACCUAAACUGGACACAGUGGUAGUGCAUCCGGAACAGAGUCUAUUGAUUAUACCAUAACUAAUUACAUACUCAGUAAAAUUUGUUAAGACCAGUUCCAAAUGAAUCUUAAGAAGUAUACCUAAAACUUUUU